ACAGGAGAAAUUAUGAUUUUAAUAAUGACAAUUAAUGUCCGCAUGCGAUAGUAUAAGCAUUAACUUUGAAGGAGUUGCAUAAUUAUUCCUAUAUAUUCAUCAAUGUGAAGAUAGGAAAUUGGAAUGGGAAUCGAGUAGGAUAAAUGUAUGGUAAUCACAGUCACGUUGCCUUUGCUCAUAUGAAAAAGUAAACUGGUUGUUAUUGAAAUAAGUGAUAUAGUAACAUAGUAUAUAAUUACAUAGUAGUGAUAGAAUAUGAGUAUUAAAGUAAAUAAG
RNAcentral lists this long non-coding RNA (276 nucleotides) under Setaria viridis. RNAcentral describes it as "long non-coding RNA (SVIR_LNC005283)". The record is from RNAcentral. Lineage: Eukaryota; Viridiplantae; Streptophyta; Magnoliopsida; Poales; Poaceae.